AAAUGCGAUAAGUAAUGUGAAUUGCAGAAUUCAGUGAAUCAUCGAAUCUUUGAACGCACCUUGCGCUCCUUGGUAUUCCUUGGAGCAUGCCUGUUUGAGUAUCAUGAAAUCUUCAAAGUAAAUCUUUUAUUAACUCAAUUGGUUUCUACUUUGGUAUUGGAGGUCUUUGCAGCUUCACACCUGCUCCUCUUUGUUCAUUAGCUGGAUCUCAGUGUUAUGCUUGGUUCCACUCGGCGUGAUAAGUUAUCUAUCGCUGAGGACACUGUAAAAGGUGGCCAAGGUAAAUGCAGAUGAACCGCUUCUAAUAGUCCAUUGACUUGGACAAUACUUUUAUGAUCUGAUCUCAAAUCAGGUAGGACUACCCGCUGAACUUAAGC
Molecule: unclassified non-coding RNA, 377 nt
Filed under: plant metagenome
Description: partial contains 5.8S ribosomal RNA, internal transcribed spacer 2, and large subunit ribosomal RNA
Rfam family: 5.8S ribosomal RNA (bases 1-104)
Source: RNAcentral